UGUGUGCGUUCGUGUGUGUGUGUGUGUGCGCUGCGUGGUGACGUAGGCGCGUGCAUGUGUGCCCCGGUCACAGCUCCUUUCAGCAUGGCCGGAGGAGAGGUGUACUGGCAGUCGCGUGACACACAGAACAGACACAUAUUUCUGUGUUGCAGAUGUGCAGUAAAGAGCCAAAGACCCAGUACUGUCUCCUGCCUCUUACUUUCACGCCAGAACACAACGCAUUGACGGGCGUAACACAUGAAUGGGUUACAUAUGUGACAAUAAAGUUUGCUUGUUGCUGUUCAGUUUGAAUUCUUGUUUAUCCUUAGCCUCUCCUUUUGUUUAAUAUAUAGAUUUGAUUGUGAUGUAUUCUGUAGUAUCAGUUCUUAUUAUACUUUGUUACUAGUUACCAGUUGUGUUUAUAGAGUUUAAUUAGCAUUAACAGAGCUCCCCCCAUCUCAUCCUUCUGUCUUCCCCUCUGCUAAGUUCACUUAUGUCCUGUCUGUCUCUUUUUCAGUGCGGUUGUUAUUCAUUCCCCGAUUUACAUGGGUAGACAUUUGUUUCCUGUCUUUUGCAUUUAAUUUUACUUCUCCUUCUAUCCCAUUGUUGUUGUCUCCAUGAUUACUGUUUUUUGUAUGAAUAAUGACGUCUUUCCCUCAGUCCUUGCCUUAGUAUCCUGUUUAUUUUCCUGUCUCGUCCUCUUUGCGUUCUUCAGGCUCUUUUGGGUAAUUUCCAUCUGUUCAUACAGUUUGUUAUUUUGCUUUUAGUAACUUGGCAACAGUCAAAAGCCUCUACAUUUUCCACACAGUCUUUAAUCCCUGCAUAUAGUGACAAAUCGAGAUAUUCCUCAGAGGUGUAUUUGUAAGCAUAUAUCAUGUACUUCAUUAUUUUUGCACCACUACUAGC
Molecule: long non-coding RNA, 885 nt
Organism: Astatotilapia calliptera (eastern happy)
Lineage: Eukaryota; Metazoa; Chordata; Actinopteri; Cichliformes; Cichlidae
Source: Ensembl